GCUGUUCUAUUCUUGGUAGUCAAUGUCUAUCUUCAUUGCUGAGAUCUUCUAUUUGUGACAUUGUUGUUGUACUUGGGAGUUGGUUGGAUUGGUGUAAUGUAUUGCAAACAAUUUUUUUUCCAGCAUAUAGAACCGGACCUUAUUUAAGUAUAAUGUUUGAGUUUAUAUUGUAUAAACACAUUCCAGGAGAGGUAACAGUAAGGUUGUUUUAUAUUGUGCUUAUAUCAUGUUAGACAUCAGCCAUAAAUCUGUAGUUCUUUCUUUGUUACUCAUGCAUGGGAUUGCAUGAUAUUGUGUUUUUUCUUUCAUGAUAUAUUGCAAGUGACUUUUUCCUUGAUAUCAUCGUCUUGCAUAGUUUCAUUAGCUCUUAUGGUUUUAGUUUUGAAUGACAUUUGCAGCUACCACGGUUAUACAAUAUCUACAAGAAGAUGGGGAUUGUUACCUCUUUCCAGAACAGUUUAGGAAAUGUUUUCAUUCCACUCUUCGAAGCCACGGUGGAUCCAAAUUCACAUCCUCAAUUACAUUUGUUCCUGAAGCAGGUCAGCUAAACAAUCUUAUAGAUCUGUAUUACAUUUUUGGUUGAGAGAAUCCUUUUAGAUCCUGUAGAUGCUUCUUAUUAUUAUGAAGAUGUGUUGGAUUUUUGAUGUCUCAACUUUUGCUAGUACAAAGUCCAUAAGUACUGAUGUGGUUUAUAAAAUUCUAUACCGUAUAGUCUAACAUUAACAUUCGUUUACAAACAGGUGGUGGGUUUUGACGUUGUAGACGAUGAAAGUAGACCAGAAAGGCGUCCAACGAAACACAUGCCAACACAUCUGAAUGGACUAAUGAAUUCAAUCCUGCAUAUUCUUAUUAUGCUCAUUCCUGCUACGGAAACUUGCACACUCUUAAUAAGGUUUUUCCUUUUAGAGAAUGCUCUUAUUUCCACCUUGUCAAAAUAUAUCUAGGUGAUAUAGAAAAUGAUUUUGUUCUUCUUUUCCCUAAACUCGGUUAUUACAUUUAGAUGAUUUUUAAGACAAUUUUCAUAUAUCCUAUGCAGGCAGGUGAUGUUGACCAUUUGGCUGCGGGAUUUCUUGUAUGCCAUAAUAUCUCACAUGGUAUCAAUCUUCGGUACUCUCCAGUUCUGCAAUACCUAUAUUACCUGGGGCAGGUUGAUCCCUUUUGACUUUAUUUUUAUCUUUUUGUAAGUUACCCCUUAAGUUUUCAUGUUCUUUAUAUGCUAUUGAACCUUUCCGACUUGUGCUUUAUUGUUGACAAAAUAAUUAUUAACCUCCUUUACAAUGCAGGUGGGACUGCUUAUGUCACCCUUGAGCAAUAAUUCUCUUUUCUUGGAUUACAAGAAAAACCCGUUCCCUGUGUUCUUUCAACGCGGGCUAAAUGUGUCGAUUUCAAGCGAUGAUCCUUUGCUAAUUCAUUUGACAAAAGAAGCGCUGGUGGAAGAAUAUAGCGUUGCAGCACAGGUUUGUCGGUUCACGAUUCUUGUAGCUUUAUAGGUGCUGCUCAUGGUUGGGUAUCUUAUCAAAUCAAGUAUGGUGCAGGUGUGGAAGCUCAGUGCUUAUGACCUCUGCGAGAUUGCUAUAAAUUCGGUAUAUCAUUCUGGAUUUUCACAUGCAGCAAAGGUGGGAAACUUGAGAAAGAAAAUUCUUUAGUUUUCUUCCUAAAAAAAUAUGCACCUAAAUGAUCCAUCCUAUAGAAUCAUCAUGGAAAUAAAAGUACGUCCAAUUUCAUAUAUGAUCUUGAAAUCUGUAUGAUCCAACUUUAUUGCAUAAUUCAACUCCUUUUCCUUUUUCGUGCAGACACAUUGGCUUGGUAGCAAGUAUUUCUUGAGAGGCCCUAAAGGAAAUGAUAUCCAAAAGACAAACGUUCCCAAUUUGAGGAUUGCCUUUCGAGAAACGGCAAGUGUUAAUGAUUUUUAAGCAGCUUUGGAAGAGGUUAACAGGGUGCCCCUCUUGUCCCGGUUUUCUAAUUGUGUGCUUGGUUUUGCAGACGUGGAAGGAGGAGAUGCAGUAUAUCUAUCACUGAGAAGCCGAGUUUCCAGAAGAAGUUGAUCCAUGAAGCAAAGGGAAAUAUGCUGCUGUAUCAUGUUCUUCUAAAUACAAGUAUAGAUUGGAAGCUUUGGCGGCAGUUACAUAGGUCUAAGCUGAAGGAGCAUAGGAAAUAUUGUGUGGAUCACCCCGUGGUGAUCGGCAAACUUGCUAAAGUAAAAGCUGAAGUUUUGGGAUCAAUUUGGUAUCAUGUGUGUUGACAUUUGAUGGUGUUCCACUACAUUAAAACACUAUUACAAAGUAAAAGCUGGAAGUUUUGGGAUUGAUGGUUUUUAGAAGUGGCUAUGAUACCACUCUUAGAAAUUGUUAUGUGCGGAAGCUUUUAAUGGUGAUGGGCUAGAACAAAGUGUUUAGGACUUUGGUAUAUAGGAGCUAGACUUGGGAGAAUGAUGUUAUUAGGACAAGGUUAUUAUGACAACUAGUUUAGGAGGAUAGAGGAGAAGGUGUAAACAGAGGAGGACUUAACUUGAAUUGCUUGCUUCUAUUUAUCACUUAUGAGUUCGUUACAUUGUUUGAUUACAUUGCAUACUUAUUUAUACAGGUCACUAACCGACCUUGCAUGGUAGCCACAGACCUUAUGGUCUUCUCUAGAACAUCCUAGACACUAGGUUACAUUUGUUUAAUUACAUGAUUAUUCCAGAAACUUUUGUCUAUCAUCUUAGUUUCUAGAUUAAUCUACCUAGCUCUAGGACUUAAUUACAUCUCAUGAUCCUUCUAGAUUAACUAGCAACACUAGGCUUCUCUUGAUUAAUCUAGAUUUCUCUAGAUUAUUUUUAUCAAUGUGCAUUAUGUUUUAACAGGGAUCAAUUUGGUGUCAUGUGUGUUGACAUGUUGACAUGUGAUGGUGUUCCACUACAAUGAAGCACUAUUACAAACCAGACUUUAAGAACUCAACACGAAGAAGCAAAUUCCAUAACACAAAGAAACAAAUCCGUUUCAGACAAAAAAAAAAAAAAACAAAGGGAACAAACUCCAUACAAAAACCAAAAAGAACCUGUAAGCAAACAACAAAAAGAACAAUCGUACAGGAGAAAUAUAUGAAAGGCAAUCCUAUAAUCGUCCGGUUAAUAUAUCGCCAAUGGGGAACUUGGAAUGGGAGUAGCCACCAAACACCACGGCAUGUAGAAGGCUUCGUAGAUUCGUUCGAUCAAAGAGGGAAAUCGUAUAUAUAAUUCAAUAAGAAUAUUACUUGCCUCCAUCUCCCGCUGUUACAAAAUAAAACAGAAACAUCAUAAAUUGGUAUCAAUUUAUUAAAUAAAUAACAAAAUUUCAAGCAACGAGUAAAGGAGCUUACCAGACGUACACCAUGCACCUUGUUAUAGUUCUGUGCCUCCAUAUGCCGGUGUCUAACGUAAUUGUGUGCGAAGAUCACAAUGGAUGCCGGAGAUAUAACCAUUUGACUGGUAUGUGGGUCGUACACUUCCCUGUAGAUUCCUUUACUAGAACCAAAUAGGCACACUUCGUUGAGAGCAAGGGCUCCGUGAGUCAAUUCUGCUGGCCAAUUCCAGUAGUGCUGUUCUAGAGAUGCUUCAAAUGUUGGAUGGUUCAACAGAUUAUACUGGGAUUGUGGGUCAUCGGUUGUGCAUAGUUGAUAUAUAUUCGCUAGAAAUCUUAGUUUGUUGUUGCUAUCCCAAGAGAUUGGAUAGUUAAAGACAAACUUUAGGUGGUCGCCAGUAUAAUCAUGAGGAAGGAAAGGUGGUGAAGUAUCUGCACAACUCAUGGACAGAAAAGACCACCAAUUCUCAACAUGCUUCUGUGAGUCCUUGUCCCGCAACUUAACUUUUUCAAGAAUUUCAUCACGCAAGACUUUGGCAUCACUUUGGUAUAUGAGUGGUCCUGUUUCACGCCCCAAAUUUAAAAAGAGAGGCUGAAAAUCAGUAGUCACUCCUAUACCUUGAAGCAAAUUACCAUGCGCCCGGUUAACUUCUACCAAAUAUGUCAUGUGUUGCCCAACUUUGCUCAAGAUGUUCCACAUGGCUUCAUCUGUAACUUGUCCCUUGGUAUGUUCAUCCAUCCACACCUUGAUGUGUCUGAUGACCUUUGGAAAAAUCGGCCAGUAUGUUCCUUCCUUUAUCUUCCUACAACGCUGUGGAUGUAUGAAUACUUUUUCAUCGUGCCUCGUUUGAGUGUCCCAAUGUCUUGUAGCUUCAGCAUCGCUGUUGCACACUUGUACAGUUGCAAUACUGUACCUCUCGAUAAAGUCUUGACAUUUGAUGUAUAUGAGAUAUUCGAAACUUUCAAGAGAUUGUCGAGGCCUAAGUUCACGGUAAAAAACUUCCCUCCUUCCCUCCUCUUCUAGCCUUGAUUCAAGCCUUGAUGAAGGAUUCGAAACCAUUAUACCUUUUGGAUUAUGAUCAAAACUCGUAAGCUGUUCUGUUUCGAUUUGGGUUUAAAUAAGAGAGGGACACCCACAAUAUCUCCUAUUUUAUGAAGGUAUUGUGUUCUCGAUUGCAUAUAGGAAUUCCUUGUGAAACGAGGAACUAGGCCAAGACCUUCCAAAAUUUAACAAAAUACUCAAAGAAAACAAAAAUACAUUGUCUUCUUUCUUUUCCCUAAUUUUGAAGUUGCAUCUUGGUCUACUUCUUCCUCUCUUCGAGUUGAUGAUUGAAAAAGUCAUCAACAUACGAAAAUAACAGAAUAUGAAGUACAACUUCAACAACGAGUUCUUUAACUAGGCUCAACUAACAGACCAGCUAGAAUUUAUUAUACUGUACUGCAGCUUUAUGAUUUGUUGUACUUCACAUCUUUCUUCUUUCUAUGCAUUCGUCCUCUUAGUGACAAAGCACUGUUUCACAGAUCACAAUUUGAUAUCAGCAUACCAAUGUAUCAAAUGCACCAAGCAUAGAAAAUUGUUUUCUUACCAAAGCUAACAGCUGAUUUACUUAGACAGGAGAGGGAAAAAGACUGAAAGAAAAUUGUUGUACUUCUUUUGUUUUUGAUAUAUCACAAGUAACAGUUGAUUUAAGUAUAUCCAUAUAGAGCCCCAGACAACAUCUAGAUGGUAAAAAGCAAACAAUGUCUACGACAGACGUCUCACAAUUAUCAUUACCAAUAAAUAUCAAAGCUGGUAACAGAGGGAUCGGUUUCACCUUUAUGGGCCGCUUUUGAUUAUCUUUCACAAAUUGAAGAACAAGCUUUGAUACAACUAUGCAGUUCUUUUUCCUUCAAACUACAACUAGCUUGGAUAUGAAAAUUUGAUACACCAACUGCACCAAAGAACUGUAAAUUGUUAAUACUGUUUCUAGUACAUACCCAAAACUUACAAAGCAAGCAUACUUGUUAUACCCAAAAACUGGACCCCCUCUGCUAUACUCUUUAAUGAAUGAAUGCCAACGUGAGCUAGGAGAUAAUAGGAAGUAUGUUUGAAAGGUCAGUAUGAAUACAAUUAAGGCUUAGCCUCUGCUCCUCUCUUCGAGUUGAUCAAAAAAGUCACCAACAUACGAAAUUAACAGAAUUUGAAGCACAACUUCAACAACGAGUUUCUUUAACUAGGUUCAACCAACAGACUGGCUAGGAUUUCUUACACCGCACUGCAGCCUUAUAAUUUGUUAUACCCUCCGCAUCAUUCCUCUUUUUAUGCAUUAUUCCUCCUAGUGACAGAGGACUAGUAAAGCAACCGACUUUGAAUGCAGCUUGGUAAAUGCAGGUACAGCAAAGACAAAAAUACAACGCACAUGAAGCUUGAUACUAUAUGACAAAUGCUAAUAACCAUAAACUGUUUCAAUAAGAAAGCAUGAAACAAAAAGAGCCAAAUUAUCACUCACAGGAGUGAUCCAGAGCUCCCGGAUUCCACAGACUGAACAAUCCUGGAAACAAUCCCAACCAAAUUUAUUGCUUAUGAGAGUCCUCCUAAAUUUAUCUAAAUGUAUCUUUUCAACUAGCAUAUCCCUCUAGUUUUCAACCCAAAAUUGAAUCAAAACUAGUUGUCAACUAGCAUAAAAGAUUGAUUACACACAUUAAACCUCUCCAAAAAUCCAUUGACACCUUCGUGUCAUGUCUCUUGGAGUAGGUUAUCAAACAAGAUUCUUCAAACUAGAAAGAGAAAGAUGGAUACUAUGAUUUUCAAAGUAGCGACCACAUCAAAAGCAACUGAAAAAGCUCGAGAUCCAGUAUGCAGAGAUGCAAAACAGAACAAAAUAGGGGGAUUUUGGAAAACUAAACAAAACAAAACGAAAUAUGAUCAAGGCAAAAUGCACUUCUUUCGAAUAGUACAUCACCAACGCACGUCUGAUGUGCAUAACUGCAAAUAGAUAAAUAUUAUUUUGGAAAAAGCCCUAAACAAUUUAGCAGUACAUGUUGUGCUUACAUCCCUACAGCAGAAUUGAAGAUCUGGAAGGUUUUCUCAUCAAGCGGACAGAAUCCUGGUGACAGCGAAUUGGCAGAGAAGCGGGGGAUAUCAUUAGUAGUAGUAUUACAUCUAUUGAUCAUGAACUUACACCAAAAAAGUUUACAAGUGUCAGUCAUGCCAACACCAUCCCACAGCAAAGCCAAGCGGUGGUCGUCGUCCUUUCUGAUCUGGAACAACCUUGGAGAGAAAGGUCGGACAUCCAACGCUUCUGCUUCUGGUGAUGGCCGAUAAGCAUGUGGAAGCUCGAUCCCGUCAUUCGAGAGACCCUGAACUGGUUCUGGUAGCCAUUGACGCUCUUCAAGAUCAAAAACAUAUAUUCCAGGAACUAGUUCAUCCCACGCCUCCACUUGAACCCUCCUCCCUAUUCUCCCUAUUAUCUUGGCUUCUUCUUCCGGUGUUUUUGGUUUGCGUUUUGGACUCCUGGUGCCAAAAGAAAACAAGUAGCGAUCCUCGUAGAGCACCGCGCCAGGAGACCAAUUACCCCACAAGUUGUCAUCAAGCACAUCCUCGUCCCACUUUUCUGACUCCAAAUCAUACGAGAGCAUGACAUGGGGACUGUAGGCUCCACCCUGUUGGGAGUAGACGUACAGUUUUUUCUUAGUAAGACCAAGAAGAUGUAGCCUAUGUAAAAAUCCAUUGCGCUUGGGGUUGGGACCUUGUGGCGGUACCGGCAACUUCUCCAAUACUCUGUCUACUCCGGGACGGAAUCGGUAGACUGUAGGUCCAACACAAUAAGCAUAACCAUCAUGGCCAACAGCUACUCCUCCCCGAAAUUGACCGUCUCCAAGUUUCCCACCUCCUAAGAGCCAUUCGUCUAUUCCCAUAUCCAAAUUCCUGAAGUCUAUGUAACGAUAUCCAAGAGAUUCAUCACGCAUAUGCUUGAGUGUAUACCCAUCUCCACCAAUCAGAUAAGCCCAUGAGUUUAAAACAGCAAGAUUGUUAGUAGACGAACCUGAAUCGGGAAGAGGGAGUCGUCUGACUCUAUCUGUUUCGGAUUUACAUCCAAUCACCUCAUCGCCGGAUGAUAGGGCUGAUUCCAUCGACUUCUCCUCAAUCACAUACCAAAAAGUCUUCUCGAAUCCACCUACCCUUACGUAGAUUGGUCUGUCCUUUCCGGCCAGUGCGAUUACGGCUCCUACAGUCAUGGUCCCUUUGUUUCUUUUCCGUCGAGACCUAACCUAAGCUUUUGUUUUCUUCUUUUCUGAGAGAUGGAAGCUUUUGUUUUCUCUGAGAGAUGGAGGCGUUAGGUAUUCAUCCUACUCUCCUUUUUAUAUAACUUAGGACAUAAGCCUGAGGCCCAAAACCAAAAAUAAAAGAAGUAGUAGAACCCUAAGUUCAUUUUCUCGUUUUUAUAUAAGAGUGCCUUUAUGGCUCCAUCUAACAUCUAAACCCUAGGUUGACGGAAAAGAAUCAAGCGGCGAUGACGACUAUAGGAAGCGAUGGAGACAGCGGCAAAGACAGGGCGAUCUACGUAAGGAUAACAGGCCGCGAACAGAAUCGCUGGUACGUGAUCGAGGAGAAAUCAUCGAUGAACUCAUUACUAUCAUUUGCCAAUGAGGUGAUUGGAUGUGAAUCCGAAAGAGAUGUAGUUAGACGACUCCCUCUUCCCGAUUCAGGUCUUUCCAGUAACAACCUUGCUGUUUUGAACUCCCGUAUGUAUCUGAUUGGUGGAGAUUCUUAUACAUAUAGGCAUUUUAGUGGAGAUUUGUAUACAUAUACGAAUUUGGAUGUUGAAUCUCUUGGAUAUCGUUAUAUGGAUCUGAAAUAUUUAGAUUCGAACUUGGAAAUAGAGGAAUGGCGGGCAGGAGGUGGGAAACUUGUAGACCAUCAAUUUGGGGGAGGAGUAGCUGUUGGCCCCGACGGUUAUGUAUAUUCGGUUGGACCUACAGUUUACCGAUUCCAUCCCGAUGUAGGUAAAUGUGAGAAGUUGCCUAUACCGCCACAAGGCGGCAACCCCAUGCCUGACAGAUUAUUACAUAGGGCACGUCUUCUUGGUAUCACUAAGAAAAAACUUUACGUCUAUACCGAAGAAGGUGGAGCCGAUUAUGCCAAUGUCAUGCUUUCUUUUGAUUUGGAGUCAGGCAAGUGGGACGAGGAUGAUGUGCUCGAUGACAACUUCUGGGGUGAUUGGUCUCCCGGCGUGGUGCUACACGACGACCGCUACUUGUUUUCUUUCGGAAUCAGGAAUCCCAAGCUCAAACCCUACUCAUCAGAGGAGGACGAAGAGGUUUCUGGAAUAUAUGUAUUUGAUCUUGAACAGCGUCGAUGGCUACCGGAACCAAUUGAGGGUCUCCCGAGUGAUGGAACCGUGAUUCCUCAAGCUUACAAGCCAUUACCGUGGGAUGUAAUGUAUGGCCGAAGAUUUUCUCCGCAGUUAUUCCAGAUCAGAGAGGACGACGAUCACCACUUGGCUUUGUUGUGGGAUUCUGUUGGCGUGUCUAUCUGUGAUCUUACUUGGUGUAAGUUCAUACUGGAUGUUUGUACUACUACUAGUGAAGAUAUCCCUCGCUUCUAUGCCCAUUCGCUGUCAAGAGGAUUUUGUCUGCUUGAUGAGAAAACCGGCGACUUGCUCAAUUGUGCUGUAGGGAUGUAAGCACCACAAUACCACAUCAUUUACUACUAAUUUGUUUGGGGCCUAGGCUAGGGUUUAUCAGAAACUAUGAUGAGGAUGAGUUAUUGCGAUCUGUCCGAUUCAGUUUGAUUGUUAAUUUCAUAUACUACAGAGUCUAAUUUGUUUGGGGCCUCAAAUUAGACUACAAAGAAAUGAAAAUUUUACCUCUAAAAACUGCUCGGACAAAAGAACCACAAAUUCUUCAAAUUGAAGCAAAUGAAAACAAAUUACAAUAAUCUUUUUUGAAAAUAUUAGUUUUGGAGAAUAAUCUUUUUAUUGGUUACAUUUAGAGAAGAAUCUUUCGAUAUCGAAAUAAUUGAUUUUUAGGAAAGAAAAUAAUCGAAAUAUCACGUCCUAGACGGAAAAAGAAAUUUAAUGAAAUAUAAGAUACGUGUANNNNNNNNNNNNNNNNNNNNAAAGAAACAAAGGGACCAUGACCGUAGGAGCCGUAAUCGCACUGGCCGGAAAGGACAUGCCAGUCUACGUAAGGGUAGGUGGAUUCGAGAAGACUUUUUGGUAUGUGAUUGAGGAGAAGUCGCCGAUGGAAUCAGCCCUAUCAUCCGGCGAUGAGGUGAUUGGAUGUGAAUCCGAAACAGAUAGAGUGAGACGACUCCCUCUUCCCGAUUCAGGUUCGUCUACUAACAACCUUGCAGUUGUAAAAUCCUGUGCCUAUCUGAUUGGUGGAGAUGGGUAUACACUCAAGCAUAUGCAAGAUGAAUCUGUUGGAUUUCGUCACAUAGACUUGAGGAAUUUGGAUAUGGGAGUAGACGAAUGGCUUUUAGGAGGUGGGAAACUUUUUGACGGUCAAUUUGGGGGAGGAGUAGCUCUUGGCCAUGAUGGUUAUGCUUAUUGUGUUGGACCUACAGUCUACCGAUUCCGUCCCGGAGUAGACAGAACAUUGGAGAAGUUGCCGGUACCGCCACAAGGUCCCAACCCCUGUCGCUAUGGAUUAUUACAUAGGCUACGUCUUCUUGGUCUUACUAAGGAAAAACUGUACGUCUACUUCAGGCAAGAUGACAAUGGUACCAAUGUCAUGCUCUCGUUUGAUUUGGAGUCAAGAAAGUGGGACGAGGAUGUGCUUGAUGACAACUUCUUGGGUACUUGGUCUCCUGGCGCGGUGCUCUUCCAGGAUCGCUACUUGUUUUCUUUUGGCACCAGGAGUCCAAAACGCAAACCAAAAACACCAGAAGAAGAAGAAGCCAUUACAAUAAGGAGGAGGAGGGUUCAGGAGAUUGAUGAGGGGUGGGGUUAUGUGGAGGAGGAUGAGCUGGUUCCUGGAAUAUAUGUUUUUGAUCUUCAUGAGGGUCGAUGGCUACCAGAACCAGUUGAGGGUCUACCGACUGACGGGAAGGUGAUGCCUCAUGCUUUUCGGCCAUUACCAGAAGCACCAUUGUAUUGCGGAGAUUGGAAUCCACGGUUGUUCCAGAUCAGAAAGGACGAGGACGACCACCGCUUGGCUUUGUUGUGGGAUGCUGUUGGCAAUAUUGACGACUGUAAACUUAUUUGGUGUAAGUUCAUGAUCAAUAGAUGUGAUACUAGUACUGAAGAUAACCCCCGCUUCUCUGCCAUUUCGCUGUCACCAGGAUUCUGUCCGCUUGAUGAGGACACCUUCCAGAUCUUCAAUUCUGCUGUAGGGAUGUAAGCGCAACAUGUACUACUAAUUUGUUUAGGGCUUUUUCCAAGAAUAAUAUUUAUCUAUUUCCAGUUAUGCACAUCUGAUGUGCGUUGGUGAUCUACUAUUUGAAAGAAGUGCAUUUUGCCUUGAUCAUAUUUAUCGUUUCGUUUUCCAAAAUCCCCCUAUUUUGCAUCUCUGCAUACUGGAUCUCGAUCUUGUUCAGUUGCUCUUGUUGUGAUCGCUACUUUUGAAAAUCAUGGUAUCCAUCUUUCUCUUUCAAGUUUGAAGAAUCUAGUUCGAUAAACUACACGGAGAGUUGAUACACAUGUGCAUCACUCUGCUUGCAUGAACCAGAAGCGUCUUCUGAACUUUAUCAAGUCAAAGCUUAAAAAGAACCUGAUGAGGUAGAAAACUAUGUUCCUUUCAGUUUGUUUCAGUGAGCUUGAUAUUGUUACAGAUUCAAUCUUUUCAUAUCUCUGUGACUGUUGAAGUUUCUAACUACUAACUAUGAGAAUCAACUUGGAUUGCCAGGUAGUCAUAUUCAGAGAUGGAAAAUAUCUUACACUUCAGGAAGUUUUUAAGAGUUUGGACUUGACAGGGUAAAUAUUGCUCUUCCUGAAACUGUUUAUCUAUGAAUAAUUAAAGCUCUCUCUCAUGCACAUUGCUUUUUCCUUAUUUUAGGUAUGAUCUGAAUGUUGACUUAUUGGAUGUUCAUGCGGAUAAGACUACUUUUCAUCGAUAUGACAAGUUCAAACUAAAGCAUAAUCCGUGUGGCCAGAGCAGACUCAGAGAGAUAUUCUUGAAGCAAGACAAUCUAAUCCAAGGUAUGAUCAUUUUGAAAGUUAAACUGUUAAGAUCAGGAUAUCAUACUUGUGCAUAUUCUUGUUGGGUCUUGGUUGAUUUACCUUUGAUAAUCAAUUAUUAUCUUAUAUAGAUUGAAGUGCAUAGCAUUUCAAUCUCUUCAGCUGGACUUGUCUUGUAAAGUUACUGUUUUAUUUAUGUGUACAAUUGCAGGACGAUUUUUAGCAGAAGUAACAAAGGAAGUUUUGAAAGAUCUCGAAGCCAUGAAAUACCAGGUUUUCCUCUUUAACAUUUUAUAGGAAGAUUUGCUUGCAUUGAUCAUUUAUGCAUGUCUGAUAAUGAAUUUCUCUUUUUGCAGAUGGCAGAGUACAGGAUUUCAGUUUAUGGGAGAAAACAAAGUGAGUGGGAUCAACUGGCUAGUUGGUUUGUUAACAAUGACAUUUACAGCGAGAAUGUAGUAUGGUUAAUACAGGUAUAUUAAUGCUCUUUUAUUUUUGUUCUGGUAGCUGUUCUAUUCUUGGUAGUCAAUGUCUAUCUUCAUUGCUGAGAUCUUCUAUUUGUGACAUUGUUGUUGUACUUGGGAGUUGGUUGGAUUGGUGUAAUGUAUUGCAAACAAUUUUUUUUCCUAGCAUAUAGAACCGGACCUUAUUUAAGUAUAAUGUUUGAGUUUAUAUUGUAUGAACACAUUCCAGGAGAGGUAACAGUAAGGUUGUUUUAUAUUGUGCUUAUAUCAUGUUAGACAUCAGCCAUAAAUCUGUAGUUCUUUCUUUGUUACUCAUGCAUGG
Molecule: long non-coding RNA, 12202 nt
Filed under: Fragaria vesca (wild strawberry)
Lineage: Eukaryota; Viridiplantae; Streptophyta; Magnoliopsida; Rosales; Rosaceae
Description: long non-coding RNA (FVES_LNC002128)
Source: RNAcentral